CCAGGGGGGCUGCAGUGGGGAAUAUUGGACAAUGGGCGAAAGCCUGAUCCAGCCAUGCCGCGUGUGUGAAGAAGGCCUUCGGGUUGUAAAGCACUUUCAGUGGGGAAGAAAGCCUUGGGGCUAAUACCCUCGAGGAAGGACAUCACCCACAGAAGAAGCACCGGCUAACUCCGUGCCAGCAGCCGCGGUAAUACGGAGGGUGCGAGCGUUAAUCGGAAUUACUGGGCGUAAAGCGCGCGUAGGCGGUCUGAUAAGCCGGUUGUGAAAGCCCCGGGCUCAACCUGGGAACGGCAUCCGGAACUGUCAGGCUAGAGUGCAGGAGAGGAAGGUAGAAUUCCCGGUGUAGCGGUGAAAUGCGUAGAGAUCGGGAGGAAUACCAGUGGCGAAGGCGGCCUUCUGGACUGACACUGACGCUGAGGUGCGAAAGCGUGGGUAGCAAACAGGAUUAGAUACCCGUGUAGUC
This 463-nucleotide ribosomal RNA is filed under the name Vreelandella stevensii. RNAcentral's name for it is "partial 16S ribosomal RNA". It matches the Rfam family "Bacterial small subunit ribosomal RNA", at positions 339 to 795 of the family's 1533-position model. The record is from RNAcentral. Lineage: Bacteria; Pseudomonadati; Pseudomonadota; Gammaproteobacteria; Oceanospirillales; Halomonadaceae.